RNAcentral lists this precursor RNA (567 nucleotides) under Nicotiana glutinosa. RNAcentral's name for it is "partial transfer RNA-Leu(UAA)". The stretch from base 1 to 453 matches the Rfam family "Group I catalytic intron", at positions 27 to 253 of the family's 253-position model. From Rfam's summary of the family: Group I catalytic introns are large self-splicing ribozymes. They catalyse their own excision from mRNA, tRNA and rRNA precursors in a wide range of organisms. The core secondary structure consists of 9 paired regions (P1-P9). The record is from RNAcentral. RNAcentral also lists the same sequence under 2 other names. Lineage: Eukaryota; Viridiplantae; Streptophyta; Magnoliopsida; Solanales; Solanaceae.
UGGAAACUUACUAAGUGAUCACUUUCAAAUUCAGAGAAACCCUGGAAUUAACAAAAAUGGGCAAUCCUGAGCCAAAUCCUGUUUUCCGAAAACAAACAAAGGUUCAGAAAAAAAAGGAUAGGUGCAGAGACUCAAUGGAAGCUAUUCUAACAAAUGGAGUUAAAUGCGUUGGUAGAGGAAUCUUUACAUCGAAACUUCAGAAAGAAAAAGAAUGAAGUGAAGGAUAAACGUAUAUACAUACGUAUUGAAUACUAUAUCAAAUGAUUAAUGAUGACCCGAAUCCGUAUUUUUUCUAUAAAAAAUAGAAGAGUUGGUGUGAAUCGAUUCUACAUUGAAGAAAGAAUCGAAUAUUCAUUGAUCAAAUCAUUCACUCCAUAGUCUGAUAGAUCUUUUGAAGAACUGAUUAAUCGGACGAGAAUAAAGAUAGAGUCCCGUUCUACAUGUCAAUACCGGCAACAAUGAAAUUUAUAGUAAGAGGAAAAUCCGUCGACUUUAAAAAUCGUGAGGGUUCAAGUCCCUCUAUCCCCAAAAAGACUAUUUCACUCCCCAACUAUUUAUCCGACCCCC